RNAcentral lists this transfer RNA (77 nucleotides) under bacterium. RNAcentral describes it as "tRNA-Ile". It matches the Rfam family "tRNA". Rfam says of the family: Transfer RNA (tRNA) molecules are approximately 80 nucleotides in length. Their secondary structure includes four short double-helical elements and three loops (D, anti-codon, and T loops). RNAcentral also lists the same sequence under 1 other name. The record is from RNAcentral.
GCUCCCAUAGCUCAACUGGUUAGAGCGCACGCCUGAUACGCGUGAGGUUGUAGGAUCAUGCCCUACUGGGAGUACCA